This 29-nucleotide non-coding RNA is filed under the name Homo sapiens (human). Lineage: Eukaryota; Metazoa; Chordata; Mammalia; Primates; Hominidae. The record is from RNAcentral.
UCUUAGUGUGGUCGUUGUGUGGUCUCUUA